Molecule: ribosomal RNA, 296 nt
Filed under: Testudo hermanni boettgeri
Lineage: Eukaryota; Metazoa; Chordata; Testudines; Testudinidae
Description: partial 12S ribosomal RNA
Source: RNAcentral
CCCCUAGAGGAGCCUGUUCUAUAAUCGAUAAUCCACGAUCUACCUCACCAUCUCUUGCCAAUACCGCCUAUAUACCGCCGUCACCAGCCUACCCUAUGAAGGAUAUAAAAGUAAGCAAAAUAGCACAACAGCUAACACGUCAGGUCAAGGUGUAGCUUACUGAGAUGGAAGAAAUGGGCUACAUUUUCUAAACUAGAAAUCAUUUCACGGAAAGAGCUAUGAAACAAGUCCUAUAAGUAGGAUUUAGCAGUAAAUAGGGAUCAGAAUGCCCAAUUUAAGCCGGUCCUAAGGUACGC